UCAGCUCGUGUCGUGAGAUGUUGGGUUAAGUCCCGCAACGAGCGCAACCCUUGUCUUUAGUUGCCAUCAUUCAGUUGGGCACUCUAAAGAGACUGCCGGUGUCAAACCGGAGGAAGGUGGGGAUGACGUCAAGUCCUCAUGGCCUUUAUGACCAGGGCUACACACGUACUACAAUGGCCGGUACAAAGGGCAGCCACUUAGCGAUAAGGAGCCAAUCCCGUAAAGCCGGUCUCAGUCCGGAUUGGAGUCUGCAACUCGACUCCAUGAAGUUGGAAUCGCUAGUAAUCGCAGAUCAGCACGCUGCGGUGAAUACGUUCCCGGGCCUU
RNAcentral lists this ribosomal RNA (326 nucleotides) under uncultured Desulfocapsa sp. RNAcentral describes it as "bacterial SSU rRNA". It matches the Rfam family "Bacterial small subunit ribosomal RNA", at positions 1055 to 1382 of the family's 1533-position model. Lineage: Bacteria; Pseudomonadati; Thermodesulfobacteriota; Desulfobulbia; Desulfobulbales; Desulfocapsaceae. The record is from RNAcentral.